AUCACUAGGUCUACAGGAUGGGACACAAGCACACGCCGAUGUACAGUGCAGACAGGAGUAAUUUGCUGGAACGAUCCCAAGGACAACAUAAAAUUUGAAGGCGGCAGAUCAAAACAAAUCUGCGUGCAGGUCCUUCGAGAAAUAACAAGACCACUCGAUACAGGCAGUGGCGGCAGGCGAUUGGCAGACGACCCCCAAGGAACAACCCUAGUUACAAAUGAACAAACAGGGUACAAUGGCAAGUUUGCAUUUCCACAACAGAUGACAAAGUGCAGCAUCUGA
Molecule: long non-coding RNA, 282 nt
Filed under: Oryza sativa aromatic subgroup
Lineage: Eukaryota; Viridiplantae; Streptophyta; Magnoliopsida; Poales; Poaceae
Also listed under: 1 other name
Description: lncRNA OsARC_10g0016930
Source: RNAcentral